GAUUAACGCUGGCGGCGUGCCUAACACAUGCAAGUCGAGCGGCAGCGAGUUUUACACUGAAUUCUGGAAGCUUCUAGUUGAAAGAGAAGAUUUAUUCAAGAAUUUUGUGUAAAAUGUCGGCGAGCGGCGGACGGCUGAGUAACGCGUGGGAACGUACCCCAAAGUGAGGGAUAACGCAUCGAAAGGUGUGCUAAUACCGCAUAUGGUCUUCGGAUUAAAGCCUUCGGGCGCUUUGGGAACGGCCUGCGUAAGAUUAGAUAGUUGGUGGGGUAAUGGCCUACCAAGUCGACGAUCUUUAACUGGUUUGAGAGGAUGACCAGUCAGACUGGAACUGAGACACGGUCCAGACUCCUACGGGAGGCAGCAGUGAGGAAUCUUCCACAAUGGGCGAAAGCCUGAUGGAGCAACGCCGCGUGCAGGAUGAAGGCCUUCGGGUUGUAAACUGCUUUUAUAAGUGAGGAUUAUGACAGUAACUUAUGAAUAAGGAUCGGCUAACUACGUG
Molecule: ribosomal RNA, 502 nt
Filed under: uncultured bacterium
Lineage: Bacteria
Description: partial 16S ribosomal RNA
Rfam family: Bacterial small subunit ribosomal RNA
Source: RNAcentral